Molecule: ribosomal RNA, 253 nt
Filed under: uncultured bacterium
Lineage: Bacteria
Description: partial 16S ribosomal RNA
Rfam family: Bacterial small subunit ribosomal RNA
Source: RNAcentral
UACAGAGGGUGCAAGCGUUGUCCGGAAUCACUGGGCGUAAAGGGCGCGUAGGCGGCCUGAUAAGUCGGGGGUGAAAUUCUGCGGCUUAACCGCAGGACGGCCUUCGAGACUGUCGGGCUUGAGCACGGUAGAGGCUGGUGGAAUUCCCGGUGUAGCGGUGGAAUGCGUAGAGAUCGGGAAGAACAUCGGUGGCGAAGGCGGCCAGCUGGGCCGUUGCCGACGCUGAGACGCGAAAGCGUGGGUAGCAAACAGG